GAAAGAAAAAGCUAAAAUUUUUAUCGAUUUUUUGUUUCGCUUUUUUUCGCCACUUUAUUAAUUACACUUUUUCCACUCUUGAAUUGUUUCAACUUUUUUUUCUCUUCUUGUACACUUUUCUCUCAUUGAUUAUUGAUAUCAAGAACGUGUUUAUUUGCAAUUUGCAAAUUAAUAUUACAACAUUGAUCCAACUUUUCAAUACAAACUCUUUAUACUUUUCAAUCUUCACUUCUUCUGGCCUCCAUCUUUUUUACCUUAAUAACCUGAAUUUUUCGUUACCUGUCAUCAAGACUUAACAACUUUCUUCUUUUUUACAGUAACCUAAACAGUUAGUUUCAAGUUUUUCUCUCCAGCUUAAAGCAAAACUAUUCGACUGAUUAUCAUGAUUAUCAUGAUGACGAAGAUGGUUUUUUCCCAACAAAAAAAUGUAAUUUGAAUAUUCCAUUAAACAUGGAGAGAAAGCAAAGAGAAUUGGGUAACUUGAAAGAAAGAAAAAAUUGAUUCCAAGACUUUACUUUUCAUGAUUCUUCUUCUUUUUUCUUCUUCUCCCCAUUAAUACAUAAUGAUUAACCUUUAAACAAUAUCUUCAGAUAAUUGUGAUGAGGUCACUUUUCACCAACUAAAUGUUUCAAGGUACAGUUACUUUUUCAGUUGCUUUUAAACUUGACAAUUGGAAAUGGUUGAAAUGUCAAAAAAGCCGGAAAAUGUUUGUGAAAAGUUGAAAAAUAUGGAAAUGAGAAAAGUUGAAUUUGGGUGAAAAAAAGUGGAAUCAUUUUGUUUUUAGUUUUUCUCUUGGUUUCAAUACUUGAACCUUUCCGUUUAUCCGCAGUUGUAGUUGUUGAAAUUGUCCCAGUUUUGAGGUGAAACUGAUUAUACUUAAUGUGUUAGUAAAAAAGUAAAAGAAAGUGUGCCUAAAAUAGAGAGAAGAGAGAGAGGGAAAAAAGAAAGAGAAGAAAAGGCAGAAAGCAAGUGUCAAGUAAUGACGAAAGAGAAAAAGAAAGAAAAAGUUGAAUCUUGAGCAAAAGCAAAAUAACUUAACAAGUGAAUGAAUAAGAGGAACCCUAAAAUUUUUAUAAUUGCGUAAAGUAAAAGCAAGAAGAAGAAGAAGAAAUCCAAGCUUAAACAAUCCAUUAAAGCGAAUGGCGAAUGAAAAAAAAACAUAAGAAAAGAAAGUAAAGAAAGAAAGAAAAAGUUUCAAGUUUUGAGUUACGAUGUUGGCUAACGAAGAGAAGAGCGAGAGAAAAGAAAGAAAAGAAGACAGAGAUACUUGUUAGCACACCUUAGUUGAUGUCCACUUUAUUAAAAUGAAAAGCCGGUUUCGACCUAAUUGAGUAAAACUGGAAAACCUUGUAACAAAACUCAUUGCGUUGAAAAAAAAAGUUUCGUUGCCUCUUUACUUCUCUCUUGCAUCUCUCUCUUCGUUAGAUCCUCUUUUUGAGCCUCUUUCUCUUUCUUUUUUCAUCAUCAUAAUCAUAAUCUUCUUUCUUCCUCUUCUCUCUUCUGUUUAUUUCAUUUUCUCGCUCCUUAAUAAUUCAUAUUACUCAAUACCAUCAACAAUCCAAACAACAACAAAACAACAGUAAGACCUUCAUUUCUCCUCUCAUUUCUUGCCAACCUUCAACAAGAUGAAAAUGAAAGUUGAUUAGCAAAAUGACCUUGUUUAUCCACACAUCAACGCUUUGAUAGCGCUUUUUUACAUCGUUACUUCGUUAGCUUCAAUAGUUAACUUUCUUUCGCCAUCAGAUUAUUUUUAUUAUCUUUAUUCAUUUGGUUGGCUCGAGAGAAGCAAAAAAGUGGUCAAAAAGCAGUACAAUUUUUUGAUUAAAUCCUUGAAAAGUGAAGGUGAAUACGAAAGCUUCAAACAUUUCAAUGGAAACAAAUUGAAAUCGAAAGGCGAGAAUCAAAAGAAGAAAAAAAUUCUCCUUUUCUCUAAUACCAAGCAUUUUCGAGUUUUUACAUCCAACGAAUGUUGUACAGAAAAAAAAGUUCAUAAUCUAGCAACAAACUUCUCCACCUUUUUCAAUCUUACCUUGCGCUGGAAACAUUGAUUGAUUAGCUUUGAAAGUUUAACCUUUUUUACAUUCUUUCAUCAAUUUUGUCUGUAUCGCAAGUUUACUUUUUUUAUCUGUUAUUUAAGGUAAAAAAUUGCCCAAAAAUUAUGACUUGUUCCGUUGAUGAAUGAAAGAAAAAUGAUUUUUUGUUUCUUUUCUCCCGUUUCAAAUAUUUUUUUCCGAUUAAAAUGUAAUCAUUUUGGCGAACCGUAAGUUUACUGUAAUCAGCCUUGAUCUAACGGGCCAAUUUGAUUGAGAUAGAGAUUGGAAAAGUGGAAAAGUUGAAAAGAGCGAAAAAUGAAAAUUUAAUUUUAAUUGCAACAAAUGACAAUAGUGCCAUUUAACAGUGUAAAUGAUUUCAGUAGUUGGUAACAGUUAUUGCUUAUUAUUUAAUGAAACUAUUAUUAUAUCAAAAAGGGGGGUUGAGAGAAAAGAGAGAAAUAACAAUUAUUCUAAUGACAUGCACUUAGUAAUUUUAAUGAUAAUUGUAAUAGUGAUAGUGAUCAUAAUAAUAAUUGUAAUAAUAUUUCACUAACAAGUUGACAAAGUUUUUCAUUUGGUUUGGUGAAAACUGAUGUGUUUACUUGAGGCAUGCCAAAAUCAAUACAAACUGGUGGGCUUGAAAAACGUCAUGAAAAUCCCUUUUUGUGAACCAGUAAAGGAACCUUUCCUCAUCACCAUCAUUAUCAUUAUCAUAAUCAUCUUUAAUCUUUUCUCUCUUUUUGUUGUCAAUUUAAAUUUGCGAGUUAAUCUAUUGAGUGAAAAUUCAACCGGGUCAGUUGAGCUCAACGGUUACGUCAACUUUGAAUUUAGAAGUGAUUUUUCAAAAGUUAACUCUCUUUUCACUCAAUGGUUUGGGAAAAUGAAAUUAAGCUUCAAACUAAUGCAUAACAACAAUCAUGAUGAUGAUGAUGAUGAUGAUGAUCAACUGCAGUAGCAGAGUAAAGUAAAAGAUUUUUGUGUAACUUUGAGUUAAUUGAAAGAGAGUCAACAGGGAAAUGAUGUUGCGAAGCAGAAUGAUGAUCAAGAUGAUAAAGAGUGAAAGAGGGGAUUAAACAGGAGGUAAUGCUGUUUUACCGCUACUUUUUUGUUGCUCACUUCUUGCUGACUUGUAAGGUAAACUAUCAAUUGUGGGUAAACUUUAUUUCAAAUUAACUGUCAAAUUUUGCUUUGAACUGAACAUCUUUUGUUUUUACGCUUCUUUUUGCGCUGUUGUUGUUGUUGAAGCUUUUAUUUAAAGUUUACAUUUCAGUAAACAUUUGAACCUUGCUUUUGCCCUUUCGUCAUUUCUUUCCUCUUCGUUUUUCUGUUGCUUUCAUCGUUUUGGCUUUCUGUUUAGGGAAAAGUUGAACAUUCAAUUAUUGAAUUUUUCUUGCUGUGUGUUGGUUGUGUGGGUGAACAGGGAGACGAAAUGAAUGAGCUUAUCAAGGAUGAUUAUGAUGACCGUGACGAUAAAUGUGAUGAUAUUGAUUACAAGAUGAUGACAAAUUGUGAUUACGUUAUGUUUACUUCAAGUUUAUCUCAUUUACUUUUCUUUUUUUUUCUCUUUGCAACUUUUCCCUCAAACUUCAAGUUCCUGUGACUUUUUCAUGUGAUUUAACGUUGAUUGCCAAUGAUAAUCAUAACAAUAAUGUCAUUUUCCAAUAUUUCAAGCAACAGAGAGAAAGAAAGAAAGAAAAGAGAAUAAAAAAACAGGAAAAGAAGCAUGAAAAAUAGCAGAUUCCAUUGACUUUUGUUUUUCUUUUUUUCUCUCUCUAACAUGACAUCAGUAUCGUCAUCAUUAUCAUCAUUAAAAAGUCAGGUAAAGUCACACAUUUUCUGUCAUGAUUCCAUUGCUUUUCAAUCGACAUCUUUUUGCACCCAAAAAAUGAGCAAAACUGAAAAGUUAUUUUCUCAAUCAGGUUAUUCAGUAUUUCCAGCAUUUUUCAAAGAAUAAUGACCUCAAAAAUAAUAUUGCACAAUGAGUAACAACAGCAGCAAAAGACUCAACUUGACGGUAAGCAAGUGUCAAAUCAAUGUGUUAAAAUGAGAGAAAAGCAAAAAAAAAUCUGUGAAAAGCGCAAGCAAAACGCACCUUUCAUUUUACCGGUUAAAGAGUAAACAAUCUUUUUGCUUCCCUCAAAUUUCAUGCCCUUUUUGAGCUUAUCUUGUCCAACCUGUUUUUGGGUUCCUUGGUUGUUUACCUUUUUUUCUUGUUCCUUCCUUCACUUUACCUUUUUUUCUCAUUCCAUUCAUUCAUGUUUACUUUGACUUUUCAACGCAACAUUUCAUUUUCACCUCACUAACCCAUUGAUACAUUUUCAUUACUUACAUGAAAAUUACCACAAUUAUCUGUUAAUCUUGAACCCAAACUUAACCUUAAUUUCAACUGGUAAACUUUCACCCUCUUUUUGUUUGCCGUAGCUCAGUGCACUUGCCAUAAAUGUAAUAAAAGGCAACAUUUAAACCCAAACCAGAAUAAUAUCACAUUUAAACAUCAAAACAUUGUAAGCAAAUAAUGUCAAUAAAAUGAUGAAUAAUGUUAAGCGCAUUAAUACAUGAAAUCAACAAAAAUAUCCCAAAAAAAAACGAAAACAAUUUUUACAUCUUUUCAAGGUUUAACCAGUUUUUU
Non-coding RNA from Tetranychus urticae (two-spotted spider mite), 4662 nucleotides. NCBI's taxonomy places the organism in Eukaryota, Metazoa, Arthropoda, Arachnida, Trombidiformes, Tetranychidae. The record is from RefSeq and is a predicted model, not a curated record.